This 506-nucleotide ribosomal RNA is filed under the name uncultured bacterium. RNAcentral's name for it is "partial 16S ribosomal RNA". It matches the Rfam family "Bacterial small subunit ribosomal RNA", at positions 28 to 523 of the family's 1533-position model. The record is from RNAcentral.
GAUGAACGCUAGCUACAGGCUUAACACAUGCAAGUCGAGGGGUAACGAGAGGGAAGCUUGCUUUCCUUGUCGACGACCGGCGCACGGGUGAGUAACGCGUAUCCAACCUGCCCCCAACUAAGGAAUAACCUUGCGAAAGUAAGACUAAUACCUUAUAAUUUCCUCAGAUGACAUCUGACGAGGAAUAAAGAUUUAUCGGUUGUGGAUGGGGAUGCGUCUGAUUAGCUUGUUGGCGGGGUAACGGCCCACCAAGGCAACGAUCAGUAGGGGUUCUGAGAGGAAGGUCCCCCACAUUGGAACUUAGACACGGGCCAAACUCCUACGGGAGGCAGCAGUGAGGAAUAUUGGUCAAGGGGCGGAAGCCUGAACCAGCCAAGUAGCGUGCAGGAUGACGGCCCUAUGGGUUGUAAACUGCUUUUAUACAGGAGUAAAGUUAGCCACGUGUGGUUAUUUGUAGGUACUGUAUGAAUAAGGACCGGCUAAUUCCGUGCCAGCCGCCGCGGUAA